UUUAUCGGAGAGUUUGAUCCUGGCUCAGGACGAACGCUGGCGGCGUGCCUAAUACAUGCAAGUCGAGCGGACAGAUGGGAGCUUGCUCCCUGAUGUUAGCGGCGGACGGGUGAGUAACACGUGGGUAACCUGCCUGUAAGACUGGGAUAACUCCGGGAAACCGGGGCUAAUACCGGAUGGUUGUUUGAACCGCAUGGUUCAAACAUAAAAGGUGGCUUCGGCUACCACUUACAGAUGGACCCGCGGCGCA
This 250-nucleotide ribosomal RNA is filed under the name Bacillus subtilis. Its description in RNAcentral is "partial 16S ribosomal RNA". It matches the Rfam family "Bacterial small subunit ribosomal RNA", at positions 1 to 240 of the family's 1533-position model. The record is from RNAcentral. Lineage: Bacteria; Bacillati; Bacillota; Bacilli; Caryophanales; Bacillaceae.